RNAcentral lists this ribosomal RNA (476 nucleotides) under uncultured bacterium. Its description in RNAcentral is "bacterial SSU rRNA". It matches the Rfam family "Bacterial small subunit ribosomal RNA", at positions 28 to 504 of the family's 1533-position model. The record is from RNAcentral.
GAUGAACGCUAGCGGCAGGCUUAACACAUGCAAGUCGAGGGGUAUAGUUCUUCGGAAUUAGAGACCGGCGCACGGGUGCGUAACGCGUAUGCAAUCUACCUUUCACAGAGGGAUAGCCCCAGAGAAAUUUGGAUUAAUACCUCAUAGUAUAGCAGUUUCGCAUGAAACCACUAUUAAAGUCACAACGGUGAAAGAUGAGCAUGCGUCCCAUUAGCUAGUUGGUAAGGUAACGGCUUACCAAGGCAACGAUGGGUAGGGGUCCUGAGAGGGAGAUCCCCCACACUGGUACUGAGACACGGACCAGACUCCUACGGGAGGCAGCAGUGAGGAAUAUUGGACAAUGGGCGCAAGCCUGAUCCAGCCAUGCCGCGUGCAGGAUGACGGUCCUAUGGAUUGUAAACUGCUUUUAUACAGGAAGAAACACUACUUCGUGAAGUAGCUUGACGGUACUGUAAGAAUAAGGAUCGGCUAACUCC